RNAcentral lists this ribosomal RNA (478 nucleotides) under uncultured bacterium. RNAcentral describes it as "bacterial SSU rRNA". It matches the Rfam family "Bacterial small subunit ribosomal RNA", at positions 30 to 501 of the family's 1533-position model. The record is from RNAcentral.
AUUGAACGCUGGCGGCAGGCCUAACACAUGCAAGUCGAGCGGUAACAGAAAGUAGCUUGCUACUUUGCUGACGAGCGGCGGACGGGUGAGUAAUGCUUGGGAACAUGCCUUGAGGUGGGGGACAACAGUUGGAAACGACUGCUAAUACCGCAUAAUGUCUACGGACCAAAGGGGGCUUCGGCUCUCGCCUUUAGAUUGGCCCAAGUGGGAUUAGCUAGUUGGUGAGGUAAUGGCUCACCAAGGCGACGAUCCCUAGCUGGUUUGAGAGGAUGAUCAGCCACACUGGGACUGAGACACGGCCCAGACUCCUACGGGAGGCAGCAGUGGGGAAUAUUGCACAAUGGGCGCAAGCCUGAUGCAGCCAUGCCGCGUGUGUGAAGAAGGCCUUCGGGUUGUAAAGCACUUUCAGUCAGGAGGAAAGGUUAGUAGUUAAUACCUGCUAGCUGUGACGUUACUGACAGAAGAAGCAACCGCUAAC